GUCAACACCAGUUUGCCGUCUUUAACUAGAGCUCUUCCGCCGCCACCUGGACCACCGGCGCCCGUGGCCGCCCCUGACACCGGGAUUAGCUACUCAUCCGACACAUUCACUACAUCGUCGGAUUCGGAUGGUGUGAGCGAGGGUCGGAAGCGGAAGCGCGGCCCCGAAGGGAGCCAGAAAAUGAUGAAUUUCUUUGAAGGACUGAUGAAACAGGUGAUGGAUAGGCAGGAGGCAAUGCAGCAGCGCUUCAUGGACGCCAU
This 260-nucleotide unclassified non-coding RNA is filed under the name Hevea brasiliensis (rubber tree). Lineage: Eukaryota; Viridiplantae; Streptophyta; Magnoliopsida; Malpighiales; Euphorbiaceae. The record is from RNAcentral.